RNAcentral lists this ribosomal RNA (496 nucleotides) under uncultured bacterium. Its description in RNAcentral is "partial 16S ribosomal RNA". It matches the Rfam family "Bacterial small subunit ribosomal RNA", at positions 28 to 506 of the family's 1533-position model. The record is from RNAcentral.
GAUGAACGCUGGCGGCGUGCCUAAUACAUGCAAGUCGAGCGAACAGACGAGGGGCUUGCUCCUCUGACGUUAGCGGCGGACGGGUGAGUAACACGUGGAUAACCUACCUAUAAGACUGGGAUAACUUCGGGAAACCGGAGCUAAUACCGGAUAAUAUAUUGAACCGCAUGGUUCAAUAGUGAAAGACGGUUUUGCUGUCACUUAUAGAUGGAUCCGCGCCGCAUUAGCUAGUUGGUAAGGUAACGGCUUACCAAGGCAACGAUGCGUAGCCGACCUGAGAGGGUGAUCGGCCACACUGGAACUGAGACACGGUCCAGACUCCUACGGGAGGCAGCAGUAGGGAAUCUUCCGCAAUGGGCGAAAGCCUGACGGAGCAACGCCGCGUGAGUGAUGAAGGUCUUCGGAUCGUAAAACUCUGUUAUUAGGGAAGAACAAAUGUGUAAGUAACUAUGCACGUCUUGACGGUACCUAAUCAGAAAACCACGGCUAACUACGU